This 76-nucleotide transfer RNA is filed under the name Escherichia coli. RNAcentral describes it as "tRNA-Arg". It matches the Rfam family "tRNA". From Rfam's summary of the family: Transfer RNA (tRNA) molecules are approximately 80 nucleotides in length. Lineage: Bacteria; Pseudomonadati; Pseudomonadota; Gammaproteobacteria; Enterobacterales; Enterobacteriaceae. The record is from RNAcentral.
GCGCCCGUAGCUCAGCUGGAUAGAGCGCUGCCCUCCGGAGGCAGAGGUCCAGGUUCGAAUCCUGUCGGGCGCGCCA